This 253-nucleotide ribosomal RNA is filed under the name uncultured bacterium. RNAcentral describes it as "partial 16S ribosomal RNA". It matches the Rfam family "Bacterial small subunit ribosomal RNA", at positions 524 to 776 of the family's 1533-position model. The record is from RNAcentral.
UACGUAGGUGGCAAGCGUUGUCCGGAUUUAUUGGGUUUAAAGGGUGCGUAGGCGGCUUUGUAAGUCAGUGGUGAAAUAUGGCAGCUCAACUGUCAAGGUGCCAUUGAUACUGCGGAGCUUGAGUACAGAUGAGGUAGGCGGAAUUGACGGCGUAGCGGUGAAAUGCUUAGAUAUCGUCAAGAACACCUAUAGCGAAGGCAGCUUACUAGGCUGUAACUGACGCUGAGGCACGAAAGUGUGGGGAUCAAACAGG